UACGGAGGGGGUUAGCGUUGUUCGGAAUGACUGGGCGUAAAGCGCGCGUAGGCGGGCAUUUAAGUCGGGGGUGAAAUCCCGGGGCUCAACCCCGGAAUGGCCUUCGAUACUGGGUGCCUAGAGUUCGAGAGAGGUGAGUGGAAUUCCGAGUGUAGAGGUGAAAUUCGUAGAUAUUCGGAGGAACACCAGUGGCGAAGGCGGCUCACUGGCUCGACACUGACGCUGAGGUGCGAAAGCGUGGGGAGCAAACAGG
Molecule: ribosomal RNA, 253 nt
Filed under: uncultured bacterium
Lineage: Bacteria
Also listed under: 1 other name
Description: partial 16S ribosomal RNA
Rfam family: Bacterial small subunit ribosomal RNA
Source: RNAcentral